Molecule: unclassified non-coding RNA, 436 nt
Filed under: Zea mays
Lineage: Eukaryota; Viridiplantae; Streptophyta; Magnoliopsida; Poales; Poaceae
Description: misc RNA Zm00001eb229130
Source: RNAcentral
AAAAAAGUGCUUGGAAAUACCCCUGCUCAGUUCACAGGAAAAAAAAAAAAAGAAAUAUCAAUGUUGUCCUCAGGUCUUGUCUCAGCAACGGCACAAAACUUUGCAACAAGGAGCCCCCAACUGUGCAGUCACAUUCAAAUUACUAAUCCAAUUACUAAUUGCUAUCCCAAUAACUAAAACAUCCCGAGUGAUAUCUACCAGUCCAAAACAUCUUUCAAAGACUAAGCAGGCUUUUUUAAGCCGAAGGAUAAGCAGUAAUUACGACAAUACAGUGUGCUUACAGUCCCUUAUCGUAUGGGGUGUCGGACCAUGGAGAGCAUGUUUAGUUCAGACUCCAUAUGCUCAAAAUAUCAAUUCUUUAUGGUCGGAUGAAAACUUGAAUUAUAAUACAUCCGAUAGCAUGACAAACUUACCAAGCCUUGUCUAUCCCUACUUG